This 288-nucleotide ribosomal RNA is filed under the name uncultured bacterium. RNAcentral's name for it is "partial 16S ribosomal RNA". It matches the Rfam family "Bacterial small subunit ribosomal RNA", at positions 29 to 334 of the family's 1533-position model. The record is from RNAcentral.
AAUGAACGCUGGCGGUAUGCUUAACACAUGCAAGUCGAACGGUGAACCUAGCUUGCUAGGGGAUCAGUGGCAAACGGGUGAGUAACACGUGGGAAUCUACCCGAUAGUACGGAAUAGCCGUUGGAAACGACGAUUAAUACCGUAUAUUCUCUACGGAGGAAAGAUUCAUCGCUAUCGGAUGAGCCUGCGGCGGAUUAGCUUGUUGGUGGGGUAAUGGCCUACCAAGGCGACGAUCUGUAGCUGUUCUGAGAGGAAGAUCAGCCACACUGGGACUGAGACACGGCCCAG